Non-coding RNA from Pelobates cultripes (western spadefoot toad), 437 nucleotides. The record is from the annotation of a GenBank genome assembly. Lineage: Eukaryota; Metazoa; Chordata; Amphibia; Anura; Pelobatidae.
CAAAUCCCUAUGCAGCAAAGCAAUAUCCUGCUCGUAUUUUAUUACUUUAUAAAGUUUACUAAUACAUGGCUUUCAAUGCCUAUUUCAAGAUCAUUUAUAAAUAUGUUAAAUGGAAACGGUCCCAAAACAGAACCUUGAGGGACACCACUUACCACUUUUAUCCAGCUUGAAAAUUUACCAUUAAUGACAACUUGUUGUACUCUAUCCUUAAGCCAGUGUUCUACCCAAGAACAAGAAUAUUCAUCUAGACCAAUUUCAUUAAUUUGAAGACUAACCUGUUAUGAGGAACUGUAUCAAAUGCCUUGGCAAAAUCCAAGUAGAUCACAUCCACUGCAACACCCUGAUCUUACUUCUUCGUAGAAUGCAAUUAGGUUAGUUUGACAUGACCCUUGUUUUAUAAAACCAUGCUGAUUAUUGCUAGUAACAAAGUUCUUCUC